AUACGUAGGGGGCAAGCGUUGUCCGGAAUUACUGGGCGUAAAGCGCACGCAGGCUGAAUUAUAAGUCGGUAGUCAAAGGCGGAGGCUCAACUUCCGUUUAUCUAUCGAUACUGUAAGACUAGAGUAUGUGAGAGGGAAGUGGAAUUCCCGGUGUAGCGGUGAAAUGCGUAGAAAUCGGGAGGAACACCAGUGGCGAAGGCGAUUUCCUGCCACAAUACGAGUGCCCAUGUCCUAUAGCAAGCGUAUGGAACGGGAUUAGAUACCCAGUUCCGCGUAGGCGUAAACGAUGGAUACUAGGUGCUGGUGUCUCAGGGCAUCCGUGCCGCAGCUAACGCAUUAAGUAUCCCGGCUGGGGACUACGGUCGCAAGACUGAAACUCGAAGGAAUUGUCGGGG
RNAcentral lists this ribosomal RNA (395 nucleotides) under uncultured bacterium. RNAcentral's name for it is "partial 16S ribosomal RNA". It matches the Rfam family "Bacterial small subunit ribosomal RNA", at positions 523 to 918 of the family's 1533-position model. The record is from RNAcentral.